Long non-coding RNA from Balaenoptera acutorostrata (minke whale), 608 nucleotides. RefSeq lists it as uncharacterized. The record is from RefSeq and is a predicted model, not a curated record. Lineage: Eukaryota; Metazoa; Chordata; Mammalia; Artiodactyla; Balaenopteridae. The transcript has 2 exons.
AGGCGGCCUCCGGGCUCUGGUCUCCGGCCGGAGGGCGGCACCCGAGCGGCGGACGCAGAGCCGAGGGCGCAGGCCUCCUCCCGCCCCGCAGAAGGCACAGGCCACGCACUUGUGGGAAAGCCUCUCGGCCUCCCUCCCGAGCCCUGCCACCUGCCACUGGAGCAGAGGUGCAUUUCGUCCCAAGCGUCCCCCUGCCUGCGGUCUACAAGUCUCUGCCAGAUUCAUAAGGAAAACCCCAUUUUCCUGUCCUCCAGGGAAAGACAAUGGCUGGCUGGGAGCACCUGGGACACGGGAGAUACAGAUAUGACUCUAGGAGGACAGUGACGUAGGCCAGCACCGCAGUGUCCAGACAGACACAGGCACAGGCACUCUGGCUUCCUCGCCCGACAUCUCACACCAGCUGAUCGAGAAGCAACCAAAACUGAGUAUUUUCUUUAACCCUGUGUGACUUUUAAUUUAAAAAAUGGGAGGGACUUCCCCGGUGGUCCAGUGGUUUAGACUCUGUGCUUCCACUGCAAGAGGCACGGGUUUGAUCCCUGGUCAGGGAACUAAGAUCCCGUACGCCAAGUGGCAUGGCCAAAAUAAUAAAGUAAAAAAAAAAAAAAAAA